UAGAUUGAAGCCAGUAGUAGGGUAUUUAGCUGUUAACUAAAAUUUCGUGGGUUUAAUUCUCACCAAUCUAG
RNAcentral lists this transfer RNA (71 nucleotides) under Praomys lukolelae (Lukolela Praomys). RNAcentral describes it as "tRNA-Asn". It matches the Rfam family "tRNA". Rfam says of the family: Transfer RNA (tRNA) molecules are approximately 80 nucleotides in length. Their secondary structure includes four short double-helical elements and three loops (D, anti-codon, and T loops). The record is from RNAcentral. Lineage: Eukaryota; Metazoa; Chordata; Mammalia; Rodentia; Muridae.